CCAAUAGGAUCACAGCAAUGGGGACCCCUAUAGGGACCCCUAUAAGGAUAUGGGGUUGGGACCCCCCCUUAAAGCCCCCAUAGGGAGAUGGAGGUGUGGACCCCCCCCCAUAAUUGGAUCCCUAUAGGAACACAGGGAUCUGACCCCCCCCAAUAGGAUCACAGGAAUGGGGACCCCCUUAAAGACCCCAUAAGGAUAUGGGGUUGGGACCCCCCCUUAUAAAGCCCCAUAGGGAUAUGAGUGUGUGGACCCCCCCUUUAGAGACCCCCAUUGGGACCCCCCCCAUAAUUUCACCCCUAUAGGAACUCAGGGAUCUGACCCCCCCCCCAAUAGGGUCAUAUGAAUGGGGCCCCCCUAUAGGGACCCCUAUAAGGAUAUGGGGUUGGGACCCCCCCUUAAAGCCCCCAUAGGGAGAUGGAGGUGUGGACCCCCCCCCAUAAUUGGACCCCUAUAGGGACCCCAUUGAGUCCCACCCCCCCCUUACAAUCCCAUAUAGAGAUAUGGGGUUGCAGCCCCCCCCAUAGGGACCCCCAUAGGGCCGUGGGGGGGGGUGAGGACCCCCCCCAAAUGGGGUCUGUGGGGUGGGGGCUCACAGCUCUGCUUUCUCUUUGUAGGGUCUGCCAAUGGACGGCAACGAAGACGAGAGGUGUGGGGCUGCCCCAUAGCGAUGUGUGGCACUGCCCCAUAGGGUGCUCUGCCCCAUAGCGAUGUGUGGGGCUGCCCCAUAGCGUGCUGUGCUCCACAGCGACAUGUGGGGCUGCCCCAUAGAGUGCCCCAUAGCGACGUGUGGGACUGCCCCAUGGAGUGCUCUGCCCCAUAGCGACGUGUGGGGCUGCCCCAUAGCGUGCCCUGCCCCAUAGCGAUGUGCGGGGCUGCCCCAUAGAGUGCCCCAUAGAGCGCUGUGCCCCAUAGCGAUGUGUGGGACUGCCCCAUGGAGUGCUCUGCCCCAUAGCGACGUGUGGGACUGCCCCAUGGAGUGCUCUGCCCCAUAGCGACGUGUGGGACUGCCCCAUGGAGUGCUCUGCCCCAUAGCGACGUGUGGGGCUGCCCCAUAGCGUGCUCUGCCCCAUAGCGACGUGUGGGGCUGCCCCAUAGCGUGCUCUGCCCCAUAGUGACGUGUGGGGCUGCCCCAUAGAGUGCUGUGCCCCAAAGCGAUGUGUGGGGCUGCCCCAUAGGGUGCUGUGCCCUAUAGAGAUGUGUGGGGCUGCCCCAUAGAGCACUGUGCCCCAUAGUGACAUAUGGGGCUGCCCCAUAGAGCACUGUGCCCCAUAGCGACGUGUGGGGCUGCCCCAUAGCGUGCUGUGCCCCAUAGCAACGUGUGGGGCUGCCCCAUAGUGUGCUCUGCCCAAUAGCGAUGCGUGGGGCUGCCCCGUAGAGUGCUGUGCCCCAUAGAGUGCUCUGCCCCAUAGCGUGCUGUGCCCCAUAGCGACGUGUGGGGCUGCCCCAUAGAGCGCUGUGCCCCAUAGCCACGUGUGGGGCUGCCCCAUAGCGUGCUCUGCCCCAUAGCAACGUGUGGCGCUGCCCCAUAGAGUGCUCUGCCCCAUAGAGCGCUGUGCCCCACAGCGACGUGUGGGGCUGCCCCAUAGCGUGCUGUGCCCCACAGCGUGCUCUGCCCCAUAGAGCGCUGUGCCCCAUAGCAACGUGUGGGGCUGCCCCAUAGCGUGCUGUGCCCCAUAGCGAUGUGUGGGGCCACCCCAUAGAGCACUCUGCCCCAUAGCGACGUGUGGGGCUGCCCCAUAGCGUGCUGUGCCCCAUAGCGACGUGUGGGGCCGCCCCAUAGAGCACUCUGCCCCAUAGCGACGUGUGGGGCUGCCCCAUAGAGUGCUGUGCCCCAUAGCGACGUGUGGGGCUGCCCCAUAGAGCGCUGUGCCCCGUAACGAUGUGUGGGGCUGCCCCAUAGAGCGCUGUGCCCCGUAACGAUGUGUGGGGCUGCCCCAUAGAGCGCUGUGCCCCGUAACGAUGUGUGGGGCUGCCCCAUAGAGCGCUGUGCCCCAUAAUGAUGUGUGGGGCUGCCCCAUAGCGAUGUGUGGGGCUGCCCCAUAGAGCGCUGUGCCCCACAGCGCCCCACAACAUUCAAUGGAUCCCCAAAUAAAGGCGUUUCUCCC
Gallus gallus (chicken) is the source of this 2105-nucleotide long non-coding RNA. Lineage: Eukaryota; Metazoa; Chordata; Aves; Galliformes; Phasianidae. The record is from Ensembl.